Molecule: ribosomal RNA, 253 nt
Filed under: uncultured bacterium
Lineage: Bacteria
Description: partial 16S ribosomal RNA
Rfam family: Bacterial small subunit ribosomal RNA
Source: RNAcentral
UACGUAGGGGGCAAGCGUUGUCCGGAUUUAUUGGGCGUAAAGCGUGCGUAGGCGGUUUUGUAAGCCAGGUGUGAAAUCCCCGGGCUCAACCUGGGAAUGGCAUUUGGGACUGCAAGGCUGGAGUGCGGCAGAGGAGACUGGAAUUCCUGGUGUAGCAGUGAAAUGCGUAGAUAUCAGGAGGAAUACCGAUGGCGAAGGCAGGUCUCUGGGCUGACACUGACGCUCAUGCACGAAAGCGUGGGGAGCAAACAGG